UAAGAAAGAGGGCUGCAAAACCCACAGAGCAAGUUUGUGUUGGCUUGGGGUAAUAGCAUUCUCUAACCUAUCUCUCUGAACUGCAGUUUCCUGCCCUUCGAAAUGGGGAUGAUAACAAUUAACACUCUUUUGAUGCUCACUUCACAGAUAUUCAAUUACCUUGAGUGACUCCAGUUACACUUUUCAAAGACUGAUGGUCGCUGUGGAUGUAGCUUUCAAGGCAAGGGGAGGGAGUACCAAUGUCACCUUCAGACACAUCGGGCCAAGUCAUCAACAUUCAUUGAUUGUCCUAUUAAGUGAUUCUCUAUAAAGUUGUGACAUUUUCUGUCCUUCUGUGCCCUAACCUUGCACUGGUCAGUCCCCUCUUCUCAGGAUUUUUAACAUUUUUUUUUUAAGUGGACUUAGGAUAGAACAGGAGUUCUAUCAAAUGCUAUGCCUGGUCACCAUCUUCCUUCCAGGAGUUAGCAAUUUUCUGUCACCCUCUUUUUUUUUUUUUUUUUUUUUUUUUGGACGGAACCAUAAAUAUUGAAAACUCUACCGAUAUUAUAUUCUGGUGCCUUACACUGUGUUCAUGACCUCCAAUUUAUCCUAUUAUAGCUUGUCUGCAGAGAGCUGUUUGCAUCUUGCCUUCUCCUAAAUCAUGCGUGCUUCAAGAACAGAAACUGCUUCCUUAAUAUCCCCAGCUUUUAACACAAAGUCUAGUACAUGAUAGGUGUUAAUAAACAUUAAUUAAAUGACUGA
Sarcophilus harrisii (Tasmanian devil) is the source of this 741-nucleotide long non-coding RNA. RefSeq lists it as uncharacterized. NCBI's taxonomy places the organism in Eukaryota, Metazoa, Chordata, Mammalia, Dasyuromorphia, Dasyuridae. The transcript is spliced from 2 exons. The record is from RefSeq and is a predicted model, not a curated record.